UGGUGUUCUGUGCUCCUCAGCAACGACACGAUUAAGAAGGCAGUAAUGAAGGGGGUGGUGGGAAGGCAAAUGCUGGUACAAUGGAUGAGGCAUUCUGGCUCACUGCACAGAGGAAAGCAUAGCACCUGCGGCAUGAAGUUCGACCGGAUGCCCAUCGGUCUGGGUGUGGUGAAAAGCAUGAAUGUGGAGGUCAAGUGUUCAGGGACGUGCGUGGAUCCUGUAUACCUGCAUUUCUAGCAUUGCAUUCUUCAGAAGGGCUUUUCCUUUUUGGUGGCAAACGUACCCUGAUUGGGUUUUUCAGCAGCCAGGAGCUGUGGUGCUGGUCCUGCUGGUGCUGCUGGAUGGGACCAAAGUGAUGCACCCAGUGCUCAGCAGAGCAGGACACGUCCUUCGGGGGCUCAUUGCAGGAGGGAGCUGUGUGGUUGAUUUAUCGCCAUAAUGCAAACACGUGUAAGUCUCCAACAGCACGGUCCAGUGAAGCUGUAAAGCAGGAACACUGAGAGCGCCU
RNAcentral lists this long non-coding RNA (508 nucleotides) under Gallus gallus (chicken). Its description in RNAcentral is "long non-coding RNA NONGGAT005612". The record is from RNAcentral. Lineage: Eukaryota; Metazoa; Chordata; Aves; Galliformes; Phasianidae.